RNAcentral lists this ribosomal RNA (757 nucleotides) under uncultured Neomoorella sp. Its description in RNAcentral is "bacterial SSU rRNA". It matches the Rfam family "Bacterial small subunit ribosomal RNA", at positions 28 to 776 of the family's 1533-position model. Lineage: Bacteria; Bacillati; Bacillota; Clostridia; Neomoorellales; Neomoorellaceae. The record is from RNAcentral.
GACGAACGCUGGCGGCGUGCUUAAUACAUGCAAGUCGAGCGAGGUUACUGCGACAGAUCCCUUCGGGGUGAAGUUGCUUUAGCCUAGCGGCGGACGGGUGAGUAACGCGUGGGUAACCUACCCUAAAGUUCGGGAUAACAGCGGGAAACCGCUGCUAAUACCGGAUGCCUUUACCAUGUGGCAUCACAAGGUAAAGAAAGGUAACGCUUUAGGAUGGGCCCGCGUCCCAUUAGCUAGUUGGUGAGGUAACAGCUCACCAAGGCGACGAUGGGUAGCCGGCCUGAGAGGGUGGACGGCCACACUGGGACUGAGACACGGCCCAGACUCCUACGGGAGGCAGCAGUAGGGAAUAUUGCGCAAUGGACGGAAGUCUGACGCAGCGACGCCGCGUGAGCGAUGAAGGCCUUCGGGUCGUAAAGCUCUGUCCUUGGGGAAGAAGGUCUUCGGACUUGACGGUACCCAAGAAGAAAGCCCCGGCUAACUACGUGCCAGCAGCCGCGGUAAUACGUAGGGGGCGAGCGUUGUCCGGAAUUACUGGGCGUAAAGGGUGCGUAGGCGGCCCUUUAAGUCAGAUGUGAAAGCCCGCAGCUUAACUGCGGAAUUGCAUUUGAAACUGGAGGGCUUGAGUGUCGGAGAGGGUAGUGGAAUUCCCAGUGUAGCGGUGAAAUGCGUAGAUAUUGGGAGGAACACCAGUGGCGAAGGCGACUGCCUGGACGAUAACUGACGCUGAGGCACGAAAGCUAGGGGAGCAAACAGG